ACGUACGGCCACAGAUCAGGGAAAACAUCGGACUCCGUUCGCUCUCCUGUGAUUAAGCCUUGAAUCGGUAGAUUAGUAGUUAGGUGGGUGACCACUAAUGAAUACCUACUGCUGUACGUU
Molecule: ribosomal RNA, 120 nt
Filed under: Coniosporium apollinis CBS 100218
Lineage: Eukaryota; Fungi; Ascomycota; Dothideomycetes
Source: RNAcentral